AGUGAACGCUGGCGGUAGGCCUAACACAUGCAAGUCGAACGGCAGCACAGUAAGAGCUUGCUCUUACGGGUGGCGAGUGGCGGACGGGUGAGGAAUACAUCGGAAUCUACUUUUUCGUGGGGGAUAACGUAGGGAAACUUACGCUAAUACCGCAUACGACCUACGGGUGAAAGCAGGGGAUCUUCGGACCUUGCGCGAUUGAAUGAGCCGAUGUCGGAUUAGCUAGUUGGCGGGGUAAAGGCCCACCAAGGCGACGAUCCGUAGCUGGUCUGAGAGGAUGGUCGGCCACACUAGAGCUGGAACACGGACCAGAGUACUACGGGAGGCAGCAGUGGGGAAUGUUGGACAAUGGGGGCAAGCCUGGUCCAGCGAUACCGAGUGGGUGGAGGAGGCGUUCGGGUUGUAAAGCCGUUUUGUUGGGUAAGAAACGCAGCCGCUUGAGACCACGCUGUUGAGACGGUACCGAAAAAAUAAGCACCGGCUAACUACGUG
Molecule: ribosomal RNA, 492 nt
Filed under: uncultured bacterium
Lineage: Bacteria
Description: partial 16S ribosomal RNA
Rfam family: Bacterial small subunit ribosomal RNA
Source: RNAcentral